AUGGGAGAGCCCAGCGACGGAGCUUCAUCGGCACCGGCUAGAGCCUUCGUGCUUCCCAUAGAUCUUGUUCAUGCUCCUCCGCCACAAGAAUGGAGGCCGGUUGUCAAGGUUGCAGAAUACAUACCCAAGGUUCCAGGCGAGCCAAAGAGAACAUUAUGGCGACUAAAUAGUUCAAAUAUCCGAAAGUACCAGGGUAUUAAGGCACCCUCGAUUGGUCUGCUCAACUCCGGUGUAGACUCCUCUAGCCCCCUCUCGGAUCUUGUUCAAGCUCCUCCACCAGAGGAGUGGAGGCCGGUCGUCAAGGUUGCGCAAUACAUGCCCAAGAUUCUAGGCGAGGCAAAACGAACAUUAUGGAGAGCAAAUAGUUCAAAUAUGUACAAAUAUCAGGGGUUUUCAUGGCCAAGGGUUGUUGGUCUCAAGGCACAUAAGGCUAAGAGGAUCAUCAGGAAAGGCAAACCGGAACUCCACUUCGAAGUCCUUCCAGAAAAUGCAAUGCGAGACUGCGUUAGUAGGAAUUUCCGUGUCACGCUAAUAGUGGAGAAACACAAUCGUGUCGUAGAAACUCCCCGUGUUUGUUAA
This 579-nucleotide ribosomal RNA is filed under the name Triticum aestivum (bread wheat). RNAcentral describes it as "partial small subunit ribosomal RNA". Lineage: Eukaryota; Viridiplantae; Streptophyta; Magnoliopsida; Poales; Poaceae. The record is from RNAcentral.